UGAUGGAGAGUUGCAUGCAACAACAGGGUCUGAGUAUGAUGUUCAAGAUCCAUCUGUCCAUCCUUGGGGAGGUCUAACCACAACACGAGAUGGGAUGCUUACCUUGUUGGAUUGUUAUCUAUAUACCAAAUCCCUGAAGGGACUUCAAAAUGUGUUUGACAGUUCACGUGGAAGGGAACGAGAAAGAGAGCUGCUUUAUCCUGAUGCUUGUGGUGGAGGUGCUAGGGGUUGGAUAAGCCAAGGGAUGGCAACUUAUGGCAGAGGGCAUGGAACAAGAGAAACAUGUGCUCUUCAUACUACCAGACUUUCUGUAGACACAUUGGUAGACUUCUGGACUGCCCUGGGGGAAGAGACACGACAGUCUCUUCUGAAAAUGAAGGAAGAGGACUUUAUUGAAAGGCUCAUGUACCGGUUUGAUAGCAAGAGAUUUUGUAGAGAUUGUAGAAG
This 447-nucleotide unclassified non-coding RNA is filed under the name Hevea brasiliensis (rubber tree). Lineage: Eukaryota; Viridiplantae; Streptophyta; Magnoliopsida; Malpighiales; Euphorbiaceae. The record is from RNAcentral.